RNAcentral lists this long non-coding RNA (2949 nucleotides) under Canis lupus familiaris (dog). RNAcentral describes it as "lncRNA (ENSCAFG00000058155.1)". The record is from RNAcentral. Lineage: Eukaryota; Metazoa; Chordata; Mammalia; Carnivora; Canidae.
GACACUAGGCCCAAUGGAGGGGCGCGCGGGAGGUGGGUGGGGUCGGGAGACCGGGUAAGCCGCCGGCGGGUCGAGGAGGGGUGCGUGUCCCUUGUGGCAACUAGGAAACCGAGAACGAAGGCCAACGCUUCCUGGGCACGGGAGCUCGAAAGGCAUCUGGUUUCACUGCUGUUCUUUGGAAAACUCACAGUGCAAUGUGCUUCGUGACUGAACAGGCAUCUUGUGAUCCUGGGAAUGUCGAUUCAUUCAUUUGGCGAGUGUUUCUAUGGUCUUGGAGGGCCUUCUGUAUGCCAGACACCGUGCUAGGCGUUGGCGCUGCAGUCCUGACACACAUACACCUGAUUUCUGCCUUCACAGAACUUACAGUCUGAAGAGGGAAAGCGAGAAAACAAACAGUUUAAUUUUCAGGUCCCAGCCAGAGAACCUAGGAGAGAAGAAGGAAAACAUUUUUUCUUCUACUUUAGAAUCAGCAAUUUUCCAGGGAGACAUCAAGUUGAGAGACAUCAUUUUUGGAGUCACCAUCGUGUGCAUGGGACUUAAAGCCGUGAGGAUGAGAUCACCUAAGAAGCCUUUCCCACACUCUUCCCUCUGCCAUCUGACUCAGGAGACUGACCUGAGUGGACCAGACAGUGCUGAGCUGAUGGGCCCCAACAAAGAGGAAGGACAAGGAAACAAGAGAAUGAACUCCCCACCGGCUCCCUUAAAGCUGGCUGCACCUGACCUCCGGAGAUCACAGCCCCUCUCAAAGUGACCCUCUCCACAAAACAUUUUUGAAUCACCUUCUCUGGGUUUUGUUAACAAUAAUGCUUCCCUGUGUCCCUUCAGCCUACAGAGAGCAGCCCCAGGAUACUGCCCUGUCCUGUUUGCUUUUCUCCUCUUCUCCCCUUCCCACAUUUCUGAAAAUGGCCCAUUUAAUCAACCUAUUGGGACUAUUUUCAUUUGAGUGUGCCAUCUGUUUCCUGCUGGAUGUCUGACUCAUUCUGUAUACCCUCAACAAACACAACCCACACCAUCACAAAAUGAGAGUUGUAAGUAUUUGUUUUGUUGAUUCUGAUGGUUAAAUGGUCCAGAAAAUAUUGGCAUGGCUCACCUCUGGUACUUAACACUGCAUUGCUCAGAUACUUCACAAUCCCUGUCAGAAGGAGAAAGAAACUUCACUAGUGAACUUUGGUAGUAAUGUUCAUCUUCAAUGGCUUAUGAACUAAAAGAGUUAUAGUACUCUUUCCUUUAAAGUUCAGAUUUUUAUCCAUGACAGCUCUCAUGUUAGGUAAAUCUGUGCCAGAGCUACUUUAUUUUAAUUUGGGAGAGAGAGAAUCUCAAGCAGACUCCUGAUGAUGAGCACAGAGCCCGACUCAGGUCCCUGUUUCAUGACCCUGAGAUCAUGACCUGCGCCAAAACCAAGGGUCUGACACUUAACUGACUGAGCCACCCAGUUGCCCCACAGAGCUAUUUUAAUAAUAGCAUGAAUCAGAGCACAUGUCUUGCUCGAUCAGUAAAGCAAGCAACUUUUUUUUUUUAAGAGUUUAUUUAUUUAUUUAUAAAAGACACAGACAGAGAGGCAGAGAUACAGGCAGAGGGAGAAGCAGGCUCCAUGCAGGGAGCCCGAUGUGGGACUCAAUCCUGGGACUCCAGGAUCACACUCUGGGCCAAAGGCAGGUGCUAAACCGCUGAGCCACCCAGGUGUCCCAAGCAGGCAACUUUUGAUCUUGGACUUAUAAGUUCAAGCAGUGGAUGUAGAGACUACUUAAAAAUUAAAUCUUUAAAAAAUUUUUCUAUUAAGAAAAUAAUAAUAGCAUGAACAGAUGAUAUAAGAGCUAGUUGUAUAUUUUCCCUUGGUGGGUGUUAUUAACUCACAGGCUAUGGAUGAAAUAAGAACUCUGGUAAUUAAAACAUGUUUAAAAUAGCCAACAUUUGGGGAUGCCUCGGUAGCUCAGUGGUUGAGUGUCUGCCCUCAGCUCAGGGCAUGAUCCCAGGGUUCAGGAUCAGGUCCCACAUUGGCUCCUUGUCGGGAGCCUGCUUCUUUCUCCCUCUUUCUGUGUCUCUGCCUCUCUCUGUCUCUCAUGAAUAAUACUAAUAAUAAAAAUAGCCAACUUUUCUGAGCACUCAAGUUACUCCCUACCUAUAACACAAGCACAUGUAAAAACUGAAAUAAUUCCUCCAAGCCUUUGGGCACAUCAUUUGGCAAGUAACUUUCAGGCUGUGCUUAGUCUAAGUUUUCAUUUCCUACAGAAUAAGUGUUUUGAGCAUUAAGGAGAUAAAUGGAGGAGGUAAAUGGGUUGAGGCAGAAUUAUUAGGUUAAUUAUUUCCUUGUAGAAGGAAUGCUUCAAACUUGAUAAAAGGAAAUAGGUGAAGAUGACCAAGGGUUGACUCAAACCACUAUAUCAUUUUCUUGAUAGGCUUCUCCUUCUGACUUUCAGUUGGACAUGUUUUGCUCUUACAGAGGCGAGGGUGUGGAUCAGGAAGUAAAAAAAAAAAAAAAAAAGACAUGUAGGGCUGACUCAAGGCCAAGAAAAACUUGGGCUUUCUCACUGCAAAUUGAGCAAUCCUCUCCGUGCUCCUCACUCUCCUGACUGGCCUCAUCCAUUCCCUGUCCACAGUUUUUGAAUGCUGGUGAAGUCCAGAGCCAGCAGCCAAGAAGAAUUCUUGAGCCAUCUUUGGUGCAAAAUGUUGGUUUUAUUAAAGCUGGGAUAGGACCCGAGGUAGGGGGGGCAGGAAGAGCUGCUGCCCCAGGGUUGUGAUGGGUGGCUGACUGUAUACUUGGGAGUUGGAAAAGGGGGGUUUUCAAAAGAACUUUCAUAUGCUAAAGAAGGCGUACAGCCAUUGUCAAGUUAAGGCUGUUUUUGCUUCUAGCAAGGCAUUAACAUUAAGACAGUUGGGAGUUUCCUACUGGAAGUUAGGUUAUUGACAAGAAUGCUUUUUUUCUCUUAAAUCAAUAAAACAUUUGUCAAG